Camelus ferus (Wild Bactrian camel) is the source of this 72-nucleotide transfer RNA. It matches the Rfam family "tRNA". From Rfam's summary of the family: Transfer RNA (tRNA) molecules are approximately 80 nucleotides in length. Their secondary structure includes four short double-helical elements and three loops (D, anti-codon, and T loops). The record is from Rfam. NCBI's taxonomy places the organism in Eukaryota, Metazoa, Chordata, Mammalia, Artiodactyla, Camelidae.
GUACAUAUAGCUCAGUGGUAGAGCACAUGCUUAGCAUACGUGAGGUUCUGGGUUCAAUCCCCAGUACCUCCA